CAUUCGAGUGGCGGACGGGUGAGUAACGCGUGGGUAACCUGCCUUACACAGGGGGAUAACACCUGGAAACAGGUGCUAAUACCGCAUAAGCGCACAGGGCCGCAUGGCCCGGUGUGAAAAACUCCGGUGGUGUAAGAUGGACCCGCGUCUGAUUAGCUUGUUGGCGGGGUAGGGGCCCACCAAGGCGACGAUCAGUAGCCGGCCUGAGAGGGUGGACGGCCGCAUUGGGACUGAGACACGGCCCAAACUCCUACGGAAGGCAGCAG
RNAcentral lists this ribosomal RNA (266 nucleotides) under uncultured bacterium. RNAcentral describes it as "partial 16S ribosomal RNA". It matches the Rfam family "Bacterial small subunit ribosomal RNA", at positions 88 to 354 of the family's 1533-position model. The record is from RNAcentral.